This 443-nucleotide ribosomal RNA is filed under the name uncultured bacterium. Its description in RNAcentral is "partial 16S ribosomal RNA". It matches the Rfam family "Bacterial small subunit ribosomal RNA", at positions 338 to 795 of the family's 1533-position model. The record is from RNAcentral.
CCUACGGGUGGCAGCAGUGGGGAAUAUUGGGCAAUGGGCGCAAGCCUGACCCAGCAACGCCGCGUGAAGGAAGAAGGCUUUCGGGUUGUUAACUUCUUUUCUCAGGGACGAAGCAAGUGACGGUACCUGAGGAAUAAGCCACGGCUAACUACGUGCCAGCAGCCGCGGUAAUACGUAGGUGGCAAGCGUUAUCCGGAUUUACUGGGUGUAAAGGGCGUGUAGGCGGGAGUGCAAGUCAGAUGUGAAAACCAUGGGCUCAACCUAUGGCCUGGAGUUGAAACUGUAGUUCUUGAGUACUGGAGAGGGAGACGGAAUGCCCAGUGUAGCGGUGAAAUGCGGAGAUAUUAGGAGGAACACCAGUGGCGAAGGCGGUCUGCUGGACAGCAACUGACGCUGAGGCGCGAAAGCGUGGGGAGCAAACAGGAUUAGAUACCCUUGUAGUC